Elaeis guineensis (African oil palm) is the source of this 588-nucleotide non-coding RNA. The record is from RefSeq and is a predicted model, not a curated record. Lineage: Eukaryota; Viridiplantae; Streptophyta; Magnoliopsida; Arecales; Arecaceae.
CACCCCGGCCCCCCACAAAAAAAACUUUUUUGUUUAUUUUAUUGACGAAAUCAUGUUUUGUUUAGAUAUUUCAGUCUGCGAUCCGGCUUCCCCUCUUUUAUCCCUUCCUUGCUGGAAUCCUCAAUCUCCUUCUAACUGUCGUGCUUGGAAGAAAAGAUGGGUUCACGAGCCAAUAGAAUCAAGCAAAAACUGCAAUCUGCCUUGGAAGCCAGUACUUUAGAAAUUCAAGAUGUUUCUUAUCAGCAUGCUGGUCAUGCGGGUGUCAAAGGAGAUGCAAAUGAGACCCAUUUUAACAUCAAAGUGGUUUCUCCAAAGUUUACCGGGCAGAGCCUUAUAAAACGCCACCGAAUGGUAUAUGAUCUGUUAGCUGAUGAGCUGAAAUCUGGACUCCAUGCUGUUUCAAUUGUUGCAAAAACCCCAGAAGAAUCAGGAUAUGCUAAUAUCUAAUGUUGCAUGUUUUAAAUCAGGGAUCUGAAAGGAGUAAGUUUUGGAUGUUAUUAUUUAUAUCCAUGAGCUGAACACUCCACAAUUUAAAUUAAGAUUGUGCUCUACGUGUUAAAUGCUUUAUUAGAACUUCCUCUUGAUCUA